RNAcentral lists this transfer RNA (68 nucleotides) under Rattus norvegicus (Norway rat). It matches the Rfam family "tRNA". Rfam says of the family: Transfer RNA (tRNA) molecules are approximately 80 nucleotides in length. Their secondary structure includes four short double-helical elements and three loops (D, anti-codon, and T loops). Further hydrogen bonds mediate the characteristic L-shaped molecular structure. tRNAs have two regions of fundamental functional importance: the anti-codon, which is responsible for specific mRNA codon recognition, and the 3' end, to which the tRNAs corresponding amino acid is attached (by aminoacyl-tRNA synthetases). tRNAs cope with the degeneracy of the genetic code in two manners: having more than one tRNA (with a specific anti-codon) for a particular amino acid; and 'wobble' base-pairing, i.e. permitting non-standard base-pairing at the 3rd anti-codon position. The record is from Rfam by way of RNAcentral. Lineage: Eukaryota; Metazoa; Chordata; Mammalia; Rodentia; Muridae.
GGGAAUUUAGCUCAGUGGUAGAGUGCUUGCCUAGCAAGCACAAGGCCCUGGGUUCAAUCCCCAGCUCU